AGCGAACGCUGGCGGCAGGCUUAACACAUGCAAGUCGAACGGGCACUUCGGUGUCAGUGGCAGACGGGUGAGUAACGCGUGGGAACGUACCUUUUGGUUCGGAACAACCCAGGGAAACUUGGGCUAAUACCGGAUAAGCCCUUACGGGGAAAGAUUUAUCGCCGAAAGAUCGGCCCGCGUCUGAUUAGCUAGUUGGUGAGGUAACGGCUCACCAAGGCGACGAUCAGUAGCUGGUCUGAGAGGANGAUCAGCCACAUUGGGACUGAGACACGGCCCAAACUCCUACGGGAGGCAGCAGUGGGGAAUAUUGGACAAUGGGCGCAAGCCUGAUCCAGCCAUGCCGCGUGAGUGAUGAAGGCCCUAGGGUUGUAAAGCUCUUUUGCGCGGGAAGAUAAUGACGGUACCGCAAGAAUAAGCCCCGGCUAACUUCGUGCCAGCAGCCGCCGUAA
This 449-nucleotide ribosomal RNA is filed under the name uncultured bacterium. RNAcentral describes it as "bacterial SSU rRNA". It matches the Rfam family "Bacterial small subunit ribosomal RNA", at positions 29 to 523 of the family's 1533-position model. The record is from RNAcentral.